RNAcentral lists this unclassified non-coding RNA (372 nucleotides) under soil metagenome. RNAcentral's name for it is "partial contains 5.8S ribosomal RNA, internal transcribed spacer 2, and large subunit ribosomal RNA". The stretch from base 1 to 120 matches the Rfam family "5.8S ribosomal RNA", at positions 35 to 154 of the family's 154-position model. The record is from RNAcentral.
GAUGAAGAACGCAGCGAAAUGCGAUAGGUAAUGUGAAUUGCAGAAUUCAGUGAGUCAUCGAAUCUUUGAACGCACAUUGCGCCCUUUGGUAUUCCGAAGGGCAUGCCUGUUCGAGCGUCAUUAUCACCCCUCAAGCCCUCGGCUUGGUGUUGGACGGUUUGGUGGAGGCCCCCUCGGGGGCUCCUGCCCCUCCCAAAGACAAUGACGGCGGCCUCGUUGGACCCCCGGUACACUGAGUUCUUCACGGGACACGUAUCGGACACAUGGGUUUACGGGACACGGUCUGCCUCCCCUCAGGGAGAAUAUUUCUAAGGUUGACCUCGGAUCAGGUAGGGAUACCCGCUGAACUUAAGCAUAUCAAUAAGCGGAGGA